RNAcentral lists this ribosomal RNA (216 nucleotides) under uncultured Streptococcus sp. RNAcentral's name for it is "partial 16S ribosomal RNA". It matches the Rfam family "Bacterial small subunit ribosomal RNA", at positions 1171 to 1382 of the family's 1533-position model. Lineage: Bacteria; Bacillati; Bacillota; Bacilli; Lactobacillales; Streptococcaceae. The record is from RNAcentral.
AAGUGGGGAUGACGUCAAAUCAUCAUGCCCCUUAUGACCUGGGCUACACACGUGCUACAAUGGUUGGUACAACGAGUUGCCGAGUCGGUGACGGCGAGCUAAUCUCUUAAAGCCAAUCUCAGUUCGGAUUGUAGGCUGCAACUCGCCUACAUGAAGUCGGAAUCGCUAGUAAUCGCGGAUCAGCACGCCGCGGUGUAAUACCGGUUCCCGGGCCUU